GACGAACGCUGGCGGCGUGCCUAAUACAUGCAAGUAGAACGCUGAAGGAGGAGCUUGCUUCUCUGGAUGAGUUGCGAACGGGUGAGUAACGCGUAGGUAACCUGCCUGGUAGCGGGGGAUAACUAUUGGAAACGAUAGCUAAUACCGCAUAAGAGUAGAUGUUGCAUGACAUUUGCUUAAAAGGUGCAAUUGCAUCACUACCAGAUGGACCUGCGUUGUAUUAGCUAGUUGGUGGGGUAACGGCUUACCAAGGCGACGAUACAUAGCCGACCUGAGAGGGUGAUCGGCCACACUGGGACUGAGACACGGCCCAGACUCCUACGGGAGGCAGCAGUAGGGAAUCUUCGGCAAUGGACGGAAGUCUGACCGAGCAACGCCGCGUGAGUGAAGAAGGGUUUCGGAUCGUAAAGCUCUGUUGUAAGAGAAGAACGAGUGUGAGAGUGGAAAGUUCACACUGUGACGGUAUCUGACCAGAAAGGGACGGCUAACUACGUG
RNAcentral lists this ribosomal RNA (495 nucleotides) under uncultured bacterium. Its description in RNAcentral is "partial 16S ribosomal RNA". It matches the Rfam family "Bacterial small subunit ribosomal RNA", at positions 28 to 507 of the family's 1533-position model. The record is from RNAcentral.